GAGGAAUAUAAAUAGACCUCAAGGGAUCCAAUUGAAGCUCUCCUCUCUCUGCCGUAUCUCUCCAUGCCGUGCAAUAUUUUUACAGCAAUAUAUUUUCUUCAGCAUUUUAUUUUCUUUGCUUUUGUUUUUAUUUUCUUUGCUAGCUUAAUUUACUAAGCAUUCAAUUUAUUUUCUCACAAUAGUUUCUACACCGGAAACUAUUGUGUACUUUUCACUAGAUCUAACCUUACGUCGGAUCACAGUAUUUUUAUUUCUUUGUUUUUACCUGUCUG
Molecule: long non-coding RNA, 272 nt
Filed under: Lathyrus oleraceus (garden pea)
Lineage: Eukaryota; Viridiplantae; Streptophyta; Magnoliopsida; Fabales; Fabaceae
Description: Pisum sativum (pea) long non-coding RNA (PSAT_LNC038251)
Source: RNAcentral